Long non-coding RNA from Perca fluviatilis (European perch), 653 nucleotides. RefSeq lists it as uncharacterized. NCBI's taxonomy places the organism in Eukaryota, Metazoa, Chordata, Actinopteri, Perciformes, Percidae. The transcript has 4 exons. The record is from RefSeq and is a predicted model, not a curated record.
ACAGGUGCAUUCUGGAUCUUUCUCCUAAAUUGUACCUACAGAGGCUCAAGUCAUUAUACAGCUCAAAUUGUUAAAACGGGUUACUUUGAGGAGUGCGUGGACUGGUUACAUCGUGCUUUGAGAAUAAACGAACAAAGAAGUUAAACCUGGAGCAGAUUGAGGAGGACUUUACGGUGCAUAAAGCUCACAAAAAGCGCAUUUACUAUCUAACUGGGACGUUUUCAGACCGAUUGGUUGGGAUUUGAUAUGGACAAAAUACACAAGGUGAUACACUGGAGUGUAUGUGUAGAGGGGCCAGACCUUACUCUGCAGCGCUGUGGAGAUAUGUCUGAUGGGGCCGUACCAGGCAAAGCAGACUUCAUGGCUGUCGACUUCACUUGCAUGUGAUUGGCAAGUCAGACAUUUCAGAAUGAUGGAUGUGUUUUCCCUGCUGACGCUUUAUUUGACACAACUGUUUAAAAAGACUGAAUACAGCCCUACAUUGUCAGGCAGAAUCUCUCUGGUGUAUAUGGUACUUCACUACACUUCACUUUUGGGAGAUAGUAGAUUAAAAAAAGUGGUCAAAGAGAGCAGCAAUGGACAUAUGGAGCAUCUAUAACGAGUCCAAAUUUUGCUGUAUAAUUAAUUGUCUCAGAAAUAAUUGCGAUUAACAA